AAUAGAUACCCGGGUAGUCCACGCCGUAAACGAUGAGUGCUAAGUGUUAGAGGGUUUCCGCCCUUUAGUGCUGCAGCUAACGCAUUAAGCACUCCGCCUGGGGAGUACGGUCGCAAGACUGAAACUCAAAGGAAUUGACGGGGGGCCCGCACAAGCGGUGGAGCAUGUGGUUUAAUUCGAAGCAACGCGAAGAACCUUACCAGGUCUUGACAUCCCACUGACCGGUAUAGAGAUAUACCUUUCCCUUCGGGGACAGUGGUGACAGGUGGUGCAUGGUUGUCGUCAGCUCGUGUCGUGAGAUGUUGGGUUAAGUCCCGCAACGAGCGCAACCCUUGAUCUUAGUUGCCAGCAUUUAGUUGGGCACUCUAAGGUGACUGCCGGUGACAACCGGAGGAAGGUGGGGAUGACGUCAAAUCAUCAUGCCCCUUAUGACCGUGGGCUACACACGUGCUACAAUGGAUGGUACAAAGGGCUGCAAGACUGCGAAGUCAAGCCAAUCCCAUAAAACCAUUCUCAGUUCGGAUUGCAGG
Molecule: ribosomal RNA, 530 nt
Filed under: uncultured bacterium
Lineage: Bacteria
Description: bacterial SSU rRNA
Rfam family: Bacterial small subunit ribosomal RNA
Source: RNAcentral